CCUACGGGGGGCAGCAGUGGGGAAUAUUGCACAAUGGGCGAAACCCUGAUGCAGCAACGCCGCGUGAGUGAAGAAGGAAUUCGUUAUGUAAAGCUCUAUUAGCAGGGAAGAAAAUGAUGGUACAUGAGUACGAAGCCGCGGCUAACUACGUGCCAGCAGCCGCGGCAAUACGUAGGGGGCAAGCGUUAUCCGGCUUUACUGGGUGUAAAGGGAGCGUAGACGGCAGUGCAAGUCUGCAGUGAAAGGCGGGGGCUCAACCCCCGGACUGCUCUUGAAACUGUACGGCUGGAGUGCAGGAGAGGUAAGUGGAAUUCCUGGUGUAGCGGUGAAAUGCGUAGAUAUUAGGAGGAACACCAGUGGCGAAGGCGGCUUACUGGACUGUAACUGACGUUGAGGCUCGAAAGCGUGGGGAGCAAACAGGAUUAGAUACCCUUGUAGUC
This 440-nucleotide ribosomal RNA is filed under the name uncultured bacterium. Its description in RNAcentral is "partial 16S ribosomal RNA". It matches the Rfam family "Bacterial small subunit ribosomal RNA", at positions 338 to 795 of the family's 1533-position model. The record is from RNAcentral.